UGCCCGGUCGUCUAAUGGCAGGACAGCGGCCUUUGGAGCCGUUAGUGGUGGUUCGAAUCCACCCCGGGCAGCAA
This 74-nucleotide transfer RNA is filed under the name Bacteroidetes bacterium QH_1_64_81. Its description in RNAcentral is "tRNA-Gln". It matches the Rfam family "tRNA". From Rfam's summary of the family: Transfer RNA (tRNA) molecules are approximately 80 nucleotides in length. Their secondary structure includes four short double-helical elements and three loops (D, anti-codon, and T loops). Further hydrogen bonds mediate the characteristic L-shaped molecular structure. tRNAs have two regions of fundamental functional importance: the anti-codon, which is responsible for specific mRNA codon recognition, and the 3' end, to which the tRNAs corresponding amino acid is attached (by aminoacyl-tRNA synthetases). tRNAs cope with the degeneracy of the genetic code in two manners: having more than one tRNA (with a specific anti-codon) for a particular amino acid; and 'wobble' base-pairing, i.e. permitting non-standard base-pairing at the 3rd anti-codon position. The record is from RNAcentral. Lineage: Bacteria; Pseudomonadati; Bacteroidota. RNAcentral also lists the same sequence under 4 other names.